Molecule: ribosomal RNA, 457 nt
Filed under: uncultured bacterium
Lineage: Bacteria
Description: bacterial SSU rRNA
Rfam family: Bacterial small subunit ribosomal RNA
Source: RNAcentral
UACGGGAGGCAGCAGGUGGGGAAUAUUGCACAAUGGGCGAAAGCCUGAUGCAGCUAUGCCGCGUGUAUGAAGAAGGCCUUAGGGUUGUAAAGUACUUUCAUCGGGGAGGAAAAACAAAACUAAUAAUUUUAUUUCUUGACGUUACCCGAAAAAGAAGCACCGGCUAACUCCGUGCCAGCAGCCGCGGUAAUACGGAGGGUGCUAGCGUUAAUCAGAAUUACUGGGCGUAAAGAGCACGUAGGUGGUUUUUUUAAAGUCAGAUGUGAAAUCCCUGGGCUUAACCUAGGAACUGCAUUUUGAAACUGAAAUACUAGAGUAUCGUAGAGGGAGGUAGAAUUCUAGGUGUAGCGGUGAAAUGCGUAGAUAUCUGGAGGAAUACCUGUGGCGAAAGCGGCCUCCUAAACGAAUACUGACACUGAGGUGCGAAAGCGUGGGGAGCAAACAGGGAUUAGAUACC